RNA transcript from Apis dorsata (giant honeybee), 1642 nucleotides. It is a transcript of the gene named odorant receptor 49b-like, with no coding region annotated. The record is from RefSeq and is a predicted model, not a curated record. The transcript is spliced from 5 exons. Lineage: Eukaryota; Metazoa; Arthropoda; Insecta; Hymenoptera; Apidae.
UAUUUAUUGUUCCACAUGUUUAUCUCAUUCCUUUAAAAAUAUAUCAAACGAAAUAUUAAGAAUCAUUCACAUAUUACUGUAAAACCAAAGUAUUCAAUUGUUCUGACUAUAAGUUAACCAAAGCAAUAUGUGAUUCCUAUCACAUGCUAUCGAUUACGAAGAAAAAGUUUCAUUCAGUCUUGCGCUUGCGUCCCUUGAAUCAUUUUUUUCAGAGUUGUUCUCUGAUACAUCGACGACUUCAGUUAGUGCUAUGCGCCACAAGUGUCAGCAUGCGAUCUACAAGUGAUAUUGACGAUCUUUCACUAAAUGAUCAUUAUGAAAGCGAUAUACAUUAUACAUUUCAAUUCUGCCAUUGGAUUUUAAAACCAUUAGGCAUCCAUUAUUUCAUCUACAGCCAAGCGAACAAAUUCGAAAGAAUUUUGUCCGUGGUUCUAAUCCUGAUCUGCUUUUUCAUAAUACAAUUCGUCAUCGUGCCGUUCGGUUAUUAUAUUCUAUUUUAUGAGAAGGAUAUGAAUAUGAAGAUCAAAUUUUUAGGACCGUUAACAUUUUGUUUAAGUGCGUUAUUCAAAUAUGGUUAUCUUGGCAUAAGGAGUUCAGAGCUUGGUCAUUGCAUAAAACAUGUGGAAAAAGAUUGGAAGAUGUUGCAAAAUGAGGAUCAUCGUGUCAUCAUGUCACGAUAUGUAAUCAUGGGCAGAAAUUUAAUCACAUUAUGCGCAGCUUUUAUGUACACUGGUGGUUUAUUUUAUCACACCAUUAUGCCAUUACUUUCGAAGAGAAAAGUUGAGAAUUUUACAAUUAGACCACUUACCUAUCCUGGUUAUGAGGCAUUUUUCAACAUUCAAAAGAGUCCCACAUAUGAAAUUAUAUAUUGUAUGCACUGUAUUUAUGUUAUCGUCGUAGGUAAUAUCACGAUGGCCGCAUACAGUUUAACGGCAAUAUUCAUCACUCAUGCCUGCGGACAGAUUAAGAUACAAACGUUACGAUUGGAGAAUUUAAAAAACGAAAAGAAAGUGUUAGAAACAGGUAUCGAGAGUCAUCUGGCGGUUAUUAUCAGCAAUCAUGUGGAAAUUUUAAGAUUUGCAAAAAACGUUGAAACAACAUUACGUGAAUUAUUUUUAGUAGAAGUGAUAGUGUCAACUUUAUUAAUGUGUUUGCUUGAAUAUUACUGCAUGGUGGAAUGGGAGACCAGCGAUUCAGCUGCAAUAUUAACAUACGUCGUUCUCUUAUUUUCUUUUACUUUCAACAUAUUAAUAUUUUGUUACGUAGGAGAACUUCUUCUUGAGCAGAGAGGAUUAUUUAGUCAUUGGCAUAAUAGACAUGAAUGUGAUAGCAGGGUAAUGAAAUCGCGACUGCUUUGUAUGAAAUAGAAUGGUACAACUUACCUGGAAGAAAAGCUCGUGAUAUUAUUUUAUUGCUCGUUAUAUCGAAAUACCCGCCCAAACUUACUGCUGGCAAAAUAUUUAUUCUAUCGAUGAAUACUUUUAGCGUUGUUUUAAAAUCAUCAUUAGUUUAUUUGAACAUGUUGCGAACGAUCACUGAACUGUGAUCAUUAUUUCCAAAAUGUUAAAAAUGAAAUAUUGUAUCUUGAUAUAAUUCAAUAUUCUGGACUUGAUCUGAAAAUUGUUGAAACAAUUAUAAUUAU